Molecule: non-coding RNA, 63 nt
Organism: Rattus norvegicus (Norway rat)
Lineage: Eukaryota; Metazoa; Chordata; Mammalia; Rodentia; Muridae
Source: Rfam
GGGGAUUUAGCUCAAUGGUAGAGCGCUUGCCUAGCAAGCGCAAGGCCCUGGGUUCAGUCCCCA